UCCCACUGUUCAUACUCCUACAGGAGCAAUGUGGGAAUAAUUGGGAAUUAUUGAGUGGCCUUGCCUACCUCAUUCUCCUCAAAAGUCAUUGACUCCAUUCCAUGGCUUUAUUGUGCAGUUUUUAAAGGAAGAACACGAGUUUUGCAGAUAGUUGGGUCAUAGCCUAAUAUUAUUGUUGCCCCUUUUUCUAUUCAAGAGCAUGUUUGGCUUUGGCAAUCUCCUAAUACUUGGCAGAUAGCUUUAGCUAAUUUCCCUGGUCAAAUGGAAAGCCAUUACCUUCAUGAUAAAAUUAUUCAGUUUGCUCUUGUGACUGCAUUUAUUUUUCCCCAAAUUGUACGUGCUUAACCAAUAGUUGAAGCACUAACAGUAUUUACUGAUGGAUCGAGUUCAGGAAAAGUAGGUUUCUAUAGCCAUGGUCAUACAGAGAUAAUACAGACAUCUUAUACUUCUGCACAAUGAGCAGAACUUCAAGCUCUCAUUGUGCUUUAAUUCAUUUUUUAAAUGAGCCAAACAUUAUUUAUUCAGAUAGUUUACAUGCUGUUCGUGUUACAAAAAAUAUUGAAACAUCAACUACUGGGAACACACCAUUGCAAGAGUUAUUUAAUUUGUUUUAGAACUUACAAAAGACAAUUCAAAUGUGUCACCAUCCAUGUUUCAUUAGCCAUAUAAGUAGGGCACAUUCUGAUCUUCCAAGUCCUUUAGCAUCAGGUAAUGAUAAGAUUGAUAAACUCGUUGCUGUUUGUGAAUAAAUAUCUUUAUAUGAUUGUGCACAAGCCUCACAUUCUUUACAUCAUCAGAAUGCUUCUUCUUUACAUAAAAAAUUUAAUAUUCCUGGGGAAAAACUUGUCAAAUUGUUCAUCAAAUCUCACAAUGUUUUAUCCAUAUUUUAUCUUCACCAACUGGGGUUAAUCCCAUGGUUUAUUACCAAAUCAGUUAUGGCAAAUGGAUGUAACUCACGUCCCUCAAUUUGGCAAACAGUGUUAAGUUCAUGUUAUUGUUGAUACUUACUCUAGAUUUAUUUUUGCCACUGCCUGUGUAAGAGAAAAUACUCAGCAUGUUAUUUCUCACUGUCUAGCUACUUUUGCAGCAUUAGGAUGUCCUUUACAGAUUGAAAUUGAUAAUACUCCAGCUUAUACUAAUUUUUCUUUCCAGCAGUUUUGCCAUCAAUUUUGUAUUGAUCAUAAAUCAGGUAUUCCCCAUAAGCCUCAAGGUCCAGCCAUUGUAGAAUGAGCUCCUUUAUGAAUUAAGCUACAGUUACAAAAAAAGGGGAGAAAUAAGGCCCCACAAAAUGACCUUAAUCAUGCUUUGUUUUAUUUUUUUUUCCAAAUUGUGACCCUGAAAGUCACACUGCAGCUGAAAGACACAUCUUCCAUGGCAACAGGUUCCUUGGUCCAAGUUUGGUGGAAAGAUUUACAAACAUAACAACAGGAAUGAUCAGAUCCAGUGAUAAUGUGGGGUAGAGGUCAUGCUUGCUUUUUCCCAGAAGGUGCCUCUCAUCCUAUUGGGGUACCUGAAGAUGCUAUCAGACAUGAAGGACCUGGAACCGAGGUUCAGAUACUGAAGAUUGAUCCAGAGAUAUCAGCCCUGACCCCCAGCAGGAAGUGAGAGCUACAAAGGAGGAAGAGGAUGAAGAAGGCCCAGAGAGACCGAAUGUUGAAACUACCAUCAUGGAAACAAUGGAGAAUCUAAUGCUACAACCUGAACAGAUAGUUUGAC
Molecule: long non-coding RNA, 1716 nt
Filed under: Marmota monax (woodchuck)
Lineage: Eukaryota; Metazoa; Chordata; Mammalia; Rodentia; Sciuridae
Source: RNAcentral